GAUGAACGCUGGCGGCGUGCCUAAUACAUGCAAGUCGAGCGAACGGACGAGAAGCUUGCUUCUCUGAUGUUGGCGGCGGACGGGUGAGUAACACGUGGAUAACCUACCUAUAAGACUGGGAUAACUUCGGGAAACCGGAGCUAAUACCGGAUAAUAUUUUGAACCGCAUGGUUCAAAAGUGAAAGACGGUCUUGCUGUCACUUAUAGAUGGAUCCGCGCUGCAUUAGCUAGUUGGUAAGGUAACGGCUUACCAAGGCGACGAUCAGUAGCCGACCUGAGAGGGUGACCGGCCACAUUGGGACUGAGACACGGCCCAA
RNAcentral lists this ribosomal RNA (317 nucleotides) under uncultured bacterium. RNAcentral's name for it is "bacterial SSU rRNA". It matches the Rfam family "Bacterial small subunit ribosomal RNA", at positions 28 to 334 of the family's 1533-position model. The record is from RNAcentral.